RNAcentral lists this long non-coding RNA (1131 nucleotides) under Numida meleagris (helmeted guineafowl). RNAcentral's name for it is "lncRNA (ENSNMEG00000006413.1)". Lineage: Eukaryota; Metazoa; Chordata; Aves; Galliformes; Numididae. The record is from RNAcentral.
GCCCCAUUCACAAAUCUGUGCCCCCAUUCACACAUCUGUGCCCCAUUCACACACACAUCGCAUUCCCAUUCACAAAUCUGUGCCCCAUUCACACACACCUGUGCCCCAUUCACAAAUCUGUGCCCCCAUUCACAAAUCUGUGCCCCCAUUCACACACACGUCUGUGUUCCAUUCACAAAUCUGUGCCCCAUUCACACAUCACAUUCCCAUUCACACACUUGUGACCCAUUCACACACACAUCACAUUCCCAUUCACAAAUCUGUGACCCCAUUCACACAUAUCUGUGUUCCACUCGCACACCUGUGCCCCAUUCACACACACAUCUGUGUUCCAUUCACACACCUGUGCCCCAUUCACACACACAUCUGUGCCCCAUUUGCACACUCAUUAUCCUCUUUGCACACCUGUGCCCCCUUUGCACACUCUCUCCCCCUUGCACACUCAUUCCCUUUCCACACUCUCUCUUUGCACACUAGUGCCCCCUUUCCACACUCAUUUCCCCUUUCCACACUCAUCCCCCCUUGCACGCUCGUUCCCUUUCUUGCACACUCAUUCCCUCCUUUCUUGCACACUCAUUCCCCACCUUGCACACUCACUUCCCUUUCCACACUCAUCCCUUUCCACACUCAUUUCCCCUUUGCACACUCCAUCCCCUUUCCACACUCACCCCCCUUCGCACGCUCAUUUCCCCUUCACACACCCACUCCCCCUUGCACACUCAUUUCCUUUCCACACUCACUCCCCCUUCACACACUCAUUCCCUUUGCACACUCUCCCCCCCUUUGCACACUCAUUUCCUUUCCACACUCUCAGCCCCUUCACACACUCGUGUCCCUUUGCACACUCGUUUCCACACUCACCCCCCUUUGCACGCUUGUGUCCCCUUUGCACACUCACCCCUUCUUCACACGCUCAUUCCCUUUCCACACUCGCUCCCCGCUUCGCACACCCGUGCCCCCUUUGCACGCCCGCGUGCCCCCCGUCGCACACGCACCGGUGAGGAUGGACUGGUCGACGCGCAGCGUGGUGGAUUUGAUGGAGAUGAUGCGGAUGUCGGCCGGCACCUUGUCCCCCACUGCACACACAGCGCGUUACUGGGAGCACUGGGACGGACUGGGAGGGACUGGGGG